GCCUGGACAGCUCAGUUGGUUAGAGUGUGGUGCUGAUAAUGCCAACGUUACAGGUUUGAUCCCCUUAUGAGACA
Molecule: non-coding RNA, 74 nt
Organism: Podarcis lilfordi (Lilford's wall lizard)
Lineage: Eukaryota; Metazoa; Chordata; Lepidosauria; Squamata; Lacertidae
Source: the annotation of a GenBank genome assembly